CGGGAAUUGAUGCCAUUUUUAAGCAUUGGUUGCAACAAUUCUACGACAAAAAUCACAAAUACAUGUGCCCAUAAUACGAAAUAAUGUUGUAUUAAUUCAACUAAUGAAAUAAAAAUUAGAUGGCUAGAAAAGACAUCCGGUUGGAAUUAGUAAAACUGCCAAUAAUUGAAUUAUUAUCGGCCGAACAACACGGUAAAAUUUUUUCUCAGCGAGGAAAAUAUUUUGUUGAAGUCCUCGUUUGUGCAACAAUCACCGAAGCAUCAGGUAGCAAACUCGAUACGUUUAUAAAAUACACAAUUGAUGAUGGUACAAGUUGUAUGGACUGUUUUGUCCCACCAGGACUAACUAAUGUUACAAAAACUGCAAAGAAUAAUUCAAAUAUGACCCAAUCUACAGAUUCAAAUGAUACAAAAUUUGCAUCCAGUCAGCUUGAACACAAGCCUGCUCCGAAUUUUCAACUUGGAGAUACAUUAUUUGUCUGGGGAAAGUUGAGAGUUUUUCCCAAUGAUAAUAUAAGAAAGUUGUUUGCCACAAAAAUCCAGAAAUGUUACAAGUUGGAAGAAAGAAUUAAUUACUGGGAACAAGUUUUGUAAUAAUUGAUAAAAUAAAUGGUUUUCUUUUGUUA
Tribolium castaneum (red flour beetle) is the source of this 625-nucleotide RNA transcript. RefSeq lists it as uncharacterized. The record is from RefSeq and is a predicted model, not a curated record. The transcript has 4 exons. NCBI's taxonomy places the organism in Eukaryota, Metazoa, Arthropoda, Insecta, Coleoptera, Tenebrionidae.